This 484-nucleotide ribosomal RNA is filed under the name uncultured bacterium. Its description in RNAcentral is "partial 16S ribosomal RNA". It matches the Rfam family "Bacterial small subunit ribosomal RNA", at positions 28 to 507 of the family's 1533-position model. The record is from RNAcentral.
GUUGAACGCUGGCGGCAUGCUUUACACAUGCAAGUCGAACGGCAGCGCGCUCUUCGGCCUGGCGGCGAGUGUCGCACGGGUGAGUGAUACAUCGGAACAUCCCCCCUCGUUGGGGCUAGCACGUCCAAGGCCCUAUUACUACCGCAUACGAGCUGUGGGUGAACCCGGGGGGUCUUCGGACCUCUCGGUCUUGGAGGGGCCGAUGGCAGAUUAGCUAGUUGGGCGGGUGACGGCCUACCUAGGCGACGAUCGGUAGCUGGUCUCACAGGGAGACCGGCCACACGGGGACGGGGACACGGCCAAGACUCCUACGGGAGGCAGCAGUGGGGAAUUGUGGACAACGGGCGAAAGCCUGAUCCAGCAAUGCCGCGUGUGAGACGAAGGCGUUCGGGGUGGAAAGAACUCUUGGCGGGAACGAAAAGGACUGUGCGAAGACCACGGUUGGAUGACGGUACUCGCAGAAUAAGCACCGGCUAACUACGUG